Long non-coding RNA from Oncorhynchus tshawytscha (Chinook salmon), 1238 nucleotides. The record is from Ensembl. Lineage: Eukaryota; Metazoa; Chordata; Actinopteri; Salmoniformes; Salmonidae.
CAGGAACAGUAGAGGAGGAGGGGUCAGGAACAGUGGAGGAGAAGGAGGAGGGGUCAGGAACAAUAGAGGAUGAGGGGUCAGGAACAGUAGAGGAGGAGGGGUCAGGAACAGUAGAGGAGGAGUGGUCAGGAACAGUAGAGGAAGAGGGGUCAGGAACAGUGGAGGAGCAGGAGGAAGGGUCAGGACCAGUAGAGGAGGAGGGGUCAGGAACAGUGGAGGAGGAGGAGGGGUCAGGAACAGUAGAGGAGGAGGGGUCAUUAACAGUGGAGGAGGAGGAGGGGUCAGGAACAGUGGAGGAGGAUGAGGGGUCAGGAACAGUAGAGGAGGAGGGGUCAGGAACAGUGGAGGAGCAGGAGGAAGGGUCAGGACCAGUAGAGGAGGAGGGGUCAGGAACAGUGGAGGAGGAGGAGGGGUCAGGAACAGUAGAGGAGGAGGGGUCAGGAACAGUAGAGGAGCAGGAGGAGGGGUCAGGAACAGUAGAGGAGGAGGAAGGGUCAGGAACAGUAGAGGAGCAGGAGGAGGGGUCAGGAACAGUAGAGGAGGAGGAAGGGUCAGGAACAGUAGAGGAGGAGGGGUCAGGAACAGUGGAGGAGGAGGAGGGGUCAGGAACAGUGGAGGAGGAGGAGGGGUCAGGAACAGUAGAGGAGGAGGAGGGGUCAGGAACAGUAGAGGAGGAGGAGGGGUCAGGAACAGUGGAGGAGGAGGAGGGGUCAGGAACAGUAGAGGAGGAGGAGUGGUCAGGAACAGUGGAGGUGGAGGAGGGGUCAGGAACAGUGGGGAGGAGGACGGGUCAGGAACAGUGGAGGAUUAGGAGGGGUCAGGAACAGUAGAGGAGGAGGAGAGUUCAGGAACAGUGGAGGAGGAGGAGGGUUCAGGAACAGUGGAGGAUUAGGAGGGGUCAGGAACAGUGGAGGAUUAGGAGGGGUCAGGAACAGUAGAGGAGGAGGAGAGUUCAGGAACAGUGAGGAGGAGGAGGGGUCAGGAACAGUGGAGGAUUAGGAGGGGUCAGGAACAGUAGAGGAGGAGGAGAGUUCAGGAACAGUGGAGGAGGAGGAGGGGUCAGGAACAGUGGAGGAUUAGGAGGGGUCAGGAACAGUAGAGGAGGAGGAGAAUUCAGGAACAGUGGAGGAGGAGGAGGGGUCAGGAACAGUGGAGGAUUAGGAGGGGUCAGGAACAGUAGAGGAGGAGGAGAGUUCAGGAACAGUGGAGGAGGAGGAGGGGUCAGGAACAGUGGAGGA